GAUGCGUAACUGGUCUGAGAGGAUGAUCAGUCACACUGGAACUGAGACACGGUCCAGACUCCUACGGGAGGCAGCAGUGGGGAAUAUUGGACAAUCGGCGAAAGCCUGAUCCAGCCAUGCCGCGUGUGUGAAGAAGGUCUUCGGAUUGUAAAGCACUUUAAGUUGGGAGGAAGUGCAGUAAGUUAAUACCUUGCUGUUUUGACGUUACCAACAGAAUAAGCACCGGCUAACUUCGUGCCAGCAGCCUCGGUAAUACGAAGGGUGCAAGCGUUAAUCGGAA
RNAcentral lists this ribosomal RNA (280 nucleotides) under Pseudomonas aeruginosa. RNAcentral's name for it is "partial 16S ribosomal RNA". It matches the Rfam family "Bacterial small subunit ribosomal RNA", at positions 278 to 550 of the family's 1533-position model. Lineage: Bacteria; Pseudomonadati; Pseudomonadota; Gammaproteobacteria; Pseudomonadales; Pseudomonadaceae. The record is from RNAcentral.